RNAcentral lists this unclassified non-coding RNA (5637 nucleotides) under Agrilus planipennis (emerald ash borer). RNAcentral describes it as "liprin-alpha-1, transcript variant X5". The record is from RNAcentral. Lineage: Eukaryota; Metazoa; Arthropoda; Insecta; Coleoptera; Buprestidae.
UUUGACAGUUGAUUCAAGAUGGCCGGUCACCAAGAUGUUUGCGUUGAUAGGACUGUGCGGCUUGGAAUUUGUAGGUGUGUCAGGUCUUGUAAAUAAAAUAAGCACUUUAUUCAACUAAAUGUAAUUGUUGCUAUGUUUCCGUGUAAUGUUUGGUGGUCCCGAACGUGUCCCUGAUAGUUUUUAAGUUAAUACACGGGCGAGUUCCAUCGGAGGGUUAGAAUUGAUUGCUUGUUGGUUGGUUGUAAUAAUUUGGAAGGGUGUACUUGUGUUUUUUGAAAACGUGAAAAUGUGGAAUAUGAUGUGCGACGUUAUGCCGACCAUUUCGGAGGACAGCAUUAGUCAAAGGAGCUCCCAAUUUUCUAGUGAAGACGCCAAUUUCGAACAGUUAAUGGUGUCUAUGUUAGACGAGCGAGACAAGUUGAUGGACAGUUUGCGGGAGACGCAGGCACGUCUUUCGGAUACUGAAAUCAAAUUAACAGAAGUCGAAAAAGAACGGGAUUCACUCCAUAGGCAGAUUGCAGCAAACCUUCCCCAGGAAUUCGCCACGUUAACGAAAGAACUAAACGCAGCACGGGAACAACUUCUUGAGAGGGAGGAAGAAAUAUCGGAACUAAAAGCUGAAAGGAAUAAUACUAGACUGUUAUUAGAACAUCUAGAAUGUCUGGUAUCACGACACGAACGUUCACUGAGGAUGACGGUGGUGAAGCGUCAAACGGCCGCUCAAUCAGGCGUUUCAUCCGAAGUAGAAGUUUUGAAAGCCUUAAAAAGCCUGUUUGAGCAUCACAAAGCAUUGGACGAAAAGGUGAGAGAAAGACUACGGGUUGCGUUAGAAAGAAAUUCUGUAUUAGAAGAAGAAUUAGCUAGUACCAAAGAAGAACUACAACAAUAUAAGUUAGGAGGCCCUCCGCCAAAUAUAACAGCAAUUGAAGAAAAACCCAAAGAAAAUGGACAAGCAGAUUCAGGGGACCAAGUAAAUAAUUCAAAUAAUAAGACGGCGACCGCCUUAAAGAAUGCUUUGAACAUCAGCACCGGGCCGCGAUUAACCAAUGGUAGUCUAGGAGUCUCCGAAAACAGCAGCGGCGUUGAAGGGAGUACCAGCUUAGAUUCUGUUGCCCGGAUUGCAGAUCUACAAGCCGCCUUGGAGCAACAGACGAACGAGAUAAGUACAUGGCAAAGGCGAGUGGCAGAGAUGACCAGUCGUGUAGGUGAGUUGGAGGAAACUUUGGCAAAGACACAGAAGGAACUCCUGAAAGCACAGGAAACAAACGCCAAGUUGCAGAGGGAUUUGCAGGAGAACGUGGCACAAAAGGAGGAUCAAGAAGAACGGAUCGCAACGCUAGAGAAGCGCUAUUUGAACGCCCAAAGGGAAUCGACGUCUCUGCAUGAUCUUAACGAAAAGCUCGAGCAAGAAUUGCAAAACAAAACUGCACAAUUGAAGUUACAAGAGGAAAAGAUCGCCGCUAUUCAAGAGAAGCUUGAAUUGGCAGAGCAAAAACUGUCGCAAUAUUCGAUGUUGCCUGAGAUGGAGGAACAGCUGAAGCAGAGAAUGGAAGCUCUGACACAGGUGAGACCGCAGGCUCAAGAACGGCACGGCUCGGCCGAAGACCGUAUUCAGCGGCUCGAGGCGAAUUUGGAUGAGAAAAACGCAGAAUUGGUUCGUCUUAAUCAGCGACUCAAGAUGAAUGAAGAACACAACAGUCGCCUCUCGGCCACCGUUGACAAACUCCUGUCCGAAUCGAACGACCGUCUCCAGGUGCAUCUGAAAGAACGUAUGCACGCGUUGGAGGAGAAAAAUAGUCUUACUCAGGAACUCGAAAAAACACGUAAAGUGAUGGAAGAGCUCGAAAUGCAAAAGACGGAAAUUAUGAAGGAACUAGCGAAAUCGAGACUAGAGAUCGAUAACGUAAAACGACAAAUGUUGCAACAAGAGAUCGCGUUCAACAUCCAACAGACAGAUGCGUUGACUCGGAGUCUGUCACCAAAUGCUACCCAACAGCAGCAGGACGUAGUUGGAGGUUCGAAUGCAACUAUCGCAAACAGUUUCACACGGAGUUCUAGUCAUACGAGUUUCGAAGCUCACUCGGCGUCGUUGCCACGACGAAGCACCGUUAAAAGUCGAACGCCCGUUGAUGACGAUCCUAAUAAGGUGAAUUUUGCAACCCGUUCGAUGACGGAGCAAGAAUGGGAGAAGCUUCAGCAAGCUCACGUGUUGGCCAAUGUACAGCAGGCUUUCGACGUCUCGAGCGAUGCUGAAGGAGACGAUAACGACAGUUUGUUCAGUACAGCUGACAUCUUAUCCCCUUCAGGUCACACAGACGCUCAGACGUUGGCGAUGAUGCUCCAGGAGCAGUUGGACGCAAUUAACAACGAGAUCCGUCUUAUUCAAGAGGAGAAGCAAAGUACUGAGGCACGAGCAGAAGAGUUGGAAUCUCGGGUCGGUAGUAUGGAACAUAUGAACCUAUUAGCACGGGGAAGGAGUUUAGAACGGCAAAGUCCACCCCUGAGCGGUCGAUCCACUCCUAAAUCUCACCAUUCACCUCAGAGAGACUACCUCCAUAAAUACCACACGGCACCAGCUUCAAUGUCUCCAGCUCAUUUACAGCAGUACCACUCCACCCUGAGCCCCGGUGCUCUUUCAGAAUCGCUCCCGACCAGUCAGCUUCAGCUUGCUCAGAUGAGUUCGGAAAUGUCAAGGGAGGAGCUUCAUAUGGCGGAAAACAGCAGUGGAGGGGCUUCGCCCCUCACCGCCCGAUCGUUAAGAUUGGAGAGGGUUGCUCAGGCUCUCGCGCAUAGUCAAGAGGAGCUGCGAAGGCAAGGCCAGAUGCACACUCCCCCAUCACCUAUGUCGUCUCGUCAUAGCAGUCAAGACAGUCUGCACAAAAACUCGGCAAUGGGCAUGAUGGGAGGCGGACCGGGACCAGGAAAAAUGGGAACAAUACCAGCCGGUCCAAUGUCCACGUCGUCUACGUCCAUGAUGCCCGGGAUGAUGGUUAUGACGCGAGAUAUGUCUCCUGCCGUAGCUGCCGCCGCCGCAGCUGCAGCUGCAGCUCAAAAGAAGAAGGGUAUCAAGUCGUCUUUGGGCAGAUUUUUCAGCAAAAAGGAGAAGGCGAAAGGAAAGGAGGCGAUUGGAGAUCCGCAUUUAAAUUUGAGUCAAACUAGCAUUGGAUUACCAGACGGGGAUAUUAACGAAUCGGGCUCCAUUGUAGCGAACAAACUGGGACAGAAGGGCGAAUUCGAUCGAAGGCAGAAGAAAAAAGAACGGGACUACAGACAUGAAUUAUUAGCAGAAGCGAUGAAAGCAGGGACGCCUUUUGCCCUCUGGAACGGUCCCACAAUAGUGGCGUGGUUGGAACUGUGGGUUGGAAUGCCUGCGUGGUAUGUGGCCGCAUGUAGGGCUAACGUUAAGUCAGGGGCUAUCAUGAGCGCACUCAGCGAUACGGAGAUACAACGAGAGAUCGGUAUCAGUAAUCCACUACAUCGAUUGAAGCUCAGACUCGCCAUACAAGAGAUGGUGUCCCUCACUUCCCCUUCAGCGCCCAAAACGUCACGAACGACACUUGCGUUUGGUGAUAUGAAUCAUGAAUGGAUCGGGAACGCAUGGUUGCCCUCCCUAGGGCUUCCUCAAUAUCGAACGACAUUCAUGGAGUGUCUGGUGGACGCACGGAUGCUUGAUCACUUGACUAAAAAAGAUCUUCGUGGGCAGCUCAAAAUGGUCGACAGUUUUCACAGAACAAGUUUACAAUACGGCAUAUCUUGUCUGAAACGGCUCAAUUACGAUCGAAACGUUUUGGAAAACAGACGAAAAAAUUGCGAAGACUCCAAUAUCGACGCUCUCGUUUGGAGUAACGAUAGGGUGAUCAAGUGGGUUUCCAGUAUAGGACUCAAAGAAUACGCCAACAAUUUGUUGGAAUCGGGAGUUCAUGGAGCCCUGCUGGCCCUGGACGAAAGCUUUGAUGCUAGCAGCAUGGCUUUGGCUCUUCAAAUUCCUACUCAAAACACACAGGCCAGGCAAUCUUUAGAAGUAGAGUUCAACAAUCUGUUACGUACUGCGACCGAUCGUCGUCCUGACGAUAUGUCGACACGCUCCUGAUACGAGGGAUCCGUCUCCGUGACGGCCAGAUAAUCAUCUAUGUCGUUUUGCACCCAUCAUGUCAUAAAACUAGAAGAAAAACGAUGCAGCAAAAAACCAGCAGCAGCCAUUAACGGAACGUCCCUGUCCCUCCGGAUUGCUGUGUCGCCUCAUCAUAUCAUCCACCCCCAUCUUCCUUUCACGAUGUGUAUCGUCAUGUACGUGUGUUGUGUCGUCGACCCGUCUCUUGUCUGUACAUACGUAGUUCGAAAGGAAAUUUUGAAAAAAAUACGCGGAAAAAGUGGCGAAGGCGACGACAAAAAAGGAACAAAAAGCUUUAAUCAAUCGUAUAUCAUAUUACGUAGGAGUUUGUAUGCAUAAAGAUUACAUAUAUACAUAUAAUAUAUAAAAAAAGGCGAAAGCAAGAGCGAAAGAACGAGAGAGAGAGAGAGUGAAAGAAAAAAGAAUAAACGGAAACGAAACAAAAAACGGUAAAUUAAUUUUUUCAACUGUUUCAUUUUUCGUGCUGAUUUUUAAAAUGCCACUAUUUACGUGUAUCUGUAAUGAUUUUUUAUAUACUAUUCUUAUUAUUGUGGAUAUGUAGAGAGAAAAUUGGAAAGAAAGCAAGUGAAAAAGAGCACUACCUAAUUGUGUAUAAGAUGAUAUAGUUAAUUGAAGAGAAAAAUAGGAACGCAUGUACGCUUCCGGUGUUGUCGUGGAUCUUCGGAGUUGUUUGGGGCGUAGCCUGUGAAGAUAUUCUUUCAAAUGUGGAAUAGGAAAUAUGUUCUGGCAGUGUUGGGUGAGUUUUUUAUAUUAUCAAUUAAUGCGCACAAGUUUGAUUAUCUUUUGCGAAUGAUGAUGCAACUCAAUUGAAUUGAAGUAUUAACUAUUAAUUGCGCGGUCUUAUUAACGAAUAUUAACUUACUUUAUUUUUCUUUACACAUAUCAUUUAUGAUUUUGUACGCGAUGUAUGUUUAGUGUGAAUGUAUUGGCAGCGUAAGUCAGUAUUAUCGCCUUCCUCCCAUUAAUAUUAUAUUCCCUUCUUCUAUCUCACCCUAUUAUUCGAUCGCAAAGCUGUAAACAUUUGUGUGUGCCUAUUGUUAACGGUGCUGCCACUUGUUGAACGUGCUUUGUUUUAUUUUUAUUAAGGGUGCGAUAUCCAAGUGAUGUAAAUUAUACGUUUCUUACGUUGAUUUAUCAUUAAUAAUUUUGAGUUUUUCUCGUGAAAAGAGAAGGCGCUUCUAAUGCAAAAUUAACGAAAGAAAAUGUGUUCUGGCCGAUAUUAAGACUUUAGAAAAAAUUAAAAUAAUGAUAAUAAACGAGAGGAAUUCAUCUCUUUCGGUUAAUGUUUUGGCGUCUGGGAAACUUCUGGACGUCCUUGCGAAUUUUAUUUUGUAAACUAACAAUAAGGCAGUAACAUACAUUCCCAUUAUCUCAAAUAAAAUACAUAACUUAUAAAGAUGUGACUUACGCUUUGCACAGUUCCAACUGAAGUUACCGUUUAUAUUCUAGUUUCGUAAGUUUGUUGUUAUUUUUUUUAUACAAACAUUAUAGUAGCUUAUAUAAUU